UGUGGCCUACGGGAGGCAGCAGUGAGGAAUAUUGGUCAAUGGCCGGAAGGCUGAACCAGCCACGCCGCGUGAAGGACGAAGGCGCCAAGCAUUGUAAACUUCUUUUGUCAAGGGACAAAAUCAGGCUCGAGAGCCUGACCGAGGGUACUUGAAGAAAAAGCAUCGGCUAACUCCGUGCCAGCAGCCGCGGUAAUACGGAGGAUGGGAGCGUUAUCCGGAUUUAUUGGGUUUAAAGGGCGCGUAGGCGGGCUGUUAAGUCAG
Molecule: ribosomal RNA, 261 nt
Filed under: uncultured bacterium
Lineage: Bacteria
Description: partial 16S ribosomal RNA
Rfam family: Bacterial small subunit ribosomal RNA
Source: RNAcentral